CGCGUACAGGCAGUACUUUGCUCCUCUUGUUGUCUUCUUCCUCCCGUCUCUUUCAAGUUGUACAAUCGCAGCAACAGAGAAGCAGGCACGCAUUUCUCCCUUUUCCUCUUCCGGAAUGGGUUGAAAUCCUCAUAAAAGGUUGCCUCCCCUUAAUGGUGAAAGGAGUUUUGAAGUUUGAAUUUGGGUGGGCCUCGUUGGAUUCUAUAUAUUCCCCCUUAUUCAUUGUAGAUAUGGGGAGUUUUUUUUUUUAGUUGGAUUUUGAUUUGAGAAAAAAUACACACAAAUAGCUUAAGCGAAAAUAGCUAAAAUACCUACUAAAUACUUCAAGAAAACAGAGGAGAACUAGAUUCGGUUAUCGUUGCUCGAGUCGAAACGUGUGGUGGUGGAAAUCAGUCGUCUCCAACUCGUUGUUGUCCCUGUUUGCUGCACUUCGAAAGGUAAUGUCUCUUCAUAAUGUUCUUUCCACCUCUUCUUCUAUUUCAGUCGCAUUCUGAUGAUUGAAACCUUUAUUUAGUUGGUUGUUGGUUGUUGGAUGUUAGUUGCUACAAAGUUUGAUGUUGUUUCGAUGAGGUGUUUAUGUUCUUAGUCGUUUUGCUGAGUCUAUUUCGAAGAGCAAGCUUGCUUCUUUAGAUUAAGUAUGCUUUGUUUCUAGUGCUUUUUAUUUCUCUUCAAAAUUGCAGACCCCCGUCCCUGUUGCUCCCUUAAAAUGUUGUGUUUUGCAAAUUUAUAUGCCAUGUCUUCGCUUGUUGGCCGGUUUGCUCGCUCGUUAGGCUUUAUUUUGAAUAGUCUUUAAGCAUUAUGAACCUGUUUCUUUGGACGUUAAUCUAAUUGAAUUAAGUUUGAAUCGUGAUUGUGAGUUAAGUUAUUAUUCUAUCUUGUUCGAGUUGUGUCCAAUACCAAUGAUAGGUAGUUUCAGUUUGGUUCAUGCUCAUAUUCUCAACCUUGAGUCUCUGAAGUCUGACCUUGUUAAGAAGUUUUCGUAUAUGCAUUUGUAGUGUUUUUCUAUCUGUAGCAUGUCACUAAAUUCGGGUAAUGCUAUCGCUUAAAUAUGUGGUUAUUGCUUUCAAAAUCAUGUCAGAUCAGGUCAUUGUUAUUCACAGUCCCUUAAGAUGAGUCUUUACCAUUAUUUGCUUAGGACUUAGUAUUUAGUUUACAUGAUUAAUGAUAACUCCUCAUGCCAAAGUGGUAGUCAACUAUUAAGGAUAUAUUAUUAGUCAUUGUUUCAUGUUAAGCAUUCAUUGCCCACUUUUGCUAUACUUUUCUGUAAUUCGUAGUUUGCCAUAUUAUCCGAAGUGUAGCUCAACUUUGGUCAAGUCCAACAAAUAUGUUCCUUGUUUAUCCUCGUGUGUUUUCAAUUUUAGUGAUUGUAUGCAUCCGUCCAGUGUUCUAAAAUAUUAUUUCCUAGCGUCAAAUUGCAAGUCUUAAUAGUCAUUUUAUUUUAAGACGAUUAAUAAUCAGUCCUUAUCUAAUUUUGUUUUAAGAUGUGGGUCGGUGUAGCGCACAUGUUACUUCCUCUUCUUUUUUACACUUGAAUGCAUGAUUCUGCUUUGCACAUGUGUAUUAUUAGUUAGUAUGGCAGUACAUUAAUUGUUUGUGACCAAGUGGCUAUUGGGCCCCUUAAUCUUCUUUAAAGUUAUUACUGUCCAUGUGUUCCUGUACGAUUCCCUUUAGUGGGGUUGUGUGUUCAUCUAUUAUUUGAGUCAGUGGAUAUUUCUCACAAAUCGAUUUGCUUCUUCUAUAUUUAUUUCAAGUCGAAUUAUAUAUUGACUUUUGUAUCCUUCUUCUCUUGUAUGUGAAAUUCACCCGAGUUCGCUACGAACUCCUACCUUCUUUCUUGCAUUUCGGGAGAGCCAUAAAGGCUCAAAUUCCUCCCUUUAUCGAGUCAUCCAUCCAUUAAAAUCAAAGAACAGGUCCCUCAAAAUCGACGAACAGGUCCCGGAGUUUAAAGAAUAUGCAGUGGAUCAAAAAAUUGAAAAGAGUGUGCUAAAGGUCUACUCUUAAUUCCAGAAGUUGUAUUUUGUUACCUUUGGGCCUAAGCCCACUUAUUUGCUAUUAUCUUGUUAGAUCCUAGGACAGGUGGAAUUGGGCCUAAGGCCCGAUACAAAUUAGAUUUUCUAAAACAUGUACCAAGUAUUGGGCCAAAGGCCCAAAAACCAAAUUACGCCUAAGUGUUGAUCCAGGCGAAUAGAAAAUCAAACUUGGGCCCAACACCCUCUCUCUUUAUUUUAUCCAUUUCUUCAUAUUUGUUUAAUUGUUUACUUGCUAAAUUAAUUUUAAGGUUCCUUAAUUCAAUUCCCCAAAGGAUGAACCAACUAUAUCUUUAAAAACAAACAAGCAUAUUUCAUUUGACUUUAGAAUAUCUAGUAUUUAAGUAAUAUUCCUAUUCUAUCCCCCC
RNAcentral lists this long non-coding RNA (2395 nucleotides) under Solanum tuberosum (potato). RNAcentral describes it as "long non-coding RNA (STUB_LNC001633)". The record is from RNAcentral. Lineage: Eukaryota; Viridiplantae; Streptophyta; Magnoliopsida; Solanales; Solanaceae.